UACGAAGGGGGCUAGCGUUGCUCGGAAUCACUGGGCGUAAAGCGCACGUAGGCGGCUUUUUAAGUCAGGGGUGAAAUCCUGGAGCUCAACUCCAGAACUGCCUUUGAUACUGAGAGGCUUGAGUCCGGGAGAGGUGAGUGGAACUGCGAGUGUAGAGGUGAAAUUCGUAGAUAUCGGGAGGAGCACCGGUGGCGAAGGCGGCGACCUGGGUAGAUACUGACGCUGAGGUGCGAAAGCGUGGGGAGCAAACAGG
Molecule: ribosomal RNA, 253 nt
Filed under: uncultured bacterium
Lineage: Bacteria
Description: partial 16S ribosomal RNA
Rfam family: Bacterial small subunit ribosomal RNA
Source: RNAcentral